UGUGAUCAAUAAAAAAAACAAAAAAAAACACAACAUUUUAAAACUGAAAAAAAAAUAAAAUACAAAUCUGGGAUGCAAAGCUAAUGAAACAAAGUAAACAUUUAUUUUAGUUAUGAAGAUAGGCUAAAAAAGUUCAAAAACUUCAUCAACAGCAUUGUACAAAGAAUGUAAGGUCAUUCUUUGAGAUUUGAGGGAGGGAGAUUUUACCUACAGCAAUGAUAAAGGAUUAUUUACACUUAUAAAAAUAAAGAUCUGAAAUUCAUUUUA
Pelobates cultripes (western spadefoot toad) is the source of this 267-nucleotide non-coding RNA. The record is from the annotation of a GenBank genome assembly. Lineage: Eukaryota; Metazoa; Chordata; Amphibia; Anura; Pelobatidae.